CAUCCAGACUCCUACGGGAGGCAGCAGUGGGGAAUAUUGCACAAUGGGGGAAACCCUGAUGCAGCGACGCCGCGUGAGCGAUGAAGUAUUUCGGUAUGUAAAGCUCUAUCAGCAGGGAAGAAAAUGACGGUACCUGAAGAAGAAGCCCCGGCUAACUACGUGCCAGCAGCCGCGGUAAUACGUAGGGGGCAAGCGUUAUCCGGAUUUACUGGGUGUAAAGGGGGCGCAGACGGCAGCGCAAGCCAGGAGUGAAAGCCCGGGGCCCAACCCCGGGACUGCCCUUGGAACUGCAUGGCUGGAGUGCGGGAGGGGCAGGCGGAAUUCCUGGUGUAGCGGUGAAAUGCGUAGAUAUCAGGAGGAACACCGGCGGCGAAGGCGGCCUGCUGGACUGCGACUGACGUUGAGGCUCGAAAGCGUGGGGAGCGAACAGGAUUAGAUACCCUGGUACG
Molecule: ribosomal RNA, 449 nt
Filed under: uncultured bacterium
Lineage: Bacteria
Description: bacterial SSU rRNA
Rfam family: Bacterial small subunit ribosomal RNA
Source: RNAcentral